This is a small nuclear RNA of Pteronotus mesoamericanus, 105 nucleotides long. The record is from RefSeq and is a predicted model, not a curated record. Lineage: Eukaryota; Metazoa; Chordata; Mammalia; Chiroptera; Mormoopidae.
GUGUCACUUUUAUAGCAUAUAUACUAAAAUCAGAAUGCUACAGAGAAAAUGAGCAUAGCCCCUAUGCAGGGAUGACAUGAAAAUUCUGAAGUGUUCCAUAUUUUU